GAGGAAUAUUGGUCAAUGGACGAGAGUCUGAACCAGCCAAGUAGCGUGAAGGAUGACUGCCCUAUGGGUUGUAAACUUCUUUUAUACGGGAAUAAAGUGAGGCACGUGUGCCUUUUUGUAUGUACCGUAUGAAUAAGGAUCGGCUAACUCCGUGCCAGCAGCCGCGGUAAUACGGAGGAUCCGAGCGUUAUCCGGAUUUAUUGGGUUUAAAGGGAGCGUAGGCGGACGCUUAAGUCAGUUGUGAAAGUUUGCGGCUCAACCGUAAAAUUGCAGUUGAUACUGGGUGUCUUGAGUACAGUAGAGGCAGGCGGAAUUCGUGGUGUAGCGGUGAAAUGCUUAGAUAUCACGAAGAACUCCGAUUGCGAAGGCAGCUUGCUGGACUGUAACUGACGCUGAUGCUCGAAAGUGUGGGUAUCAAACAGGAUUAGAUACCCUGGUAGUCCACACAGUAAACGAUGAAUACUCGCUGUUUGCGAUAUACAGUAAGCGGCCAAGCGAAAGCGUUAAGUAUUCCACCUGGGGAGUACGCCGGCAACGGUGAAACUCAAAGGAAUUGACGGGGGCCCGCACAAGCGGAGGAACAUGUGGUUUAAUUCGAUGAUACGCGAGGAACCUUACCCGGGCUUGAAUUGCAACUGAAUGAUGUGGAGACAUGUCAGCCGCAAGGCAGUUGUGAAGGUGCUGCAUGGUUGUCGUCAGCUCGUGCCGUGAGGUGUCGGCUUAAGUGCCAUAACGAGCGCAACCCUUAUCGAUAGUUACCAUCAGGUUAUGCUGGGGACUCUGUCGAGACUGCCGUCGUAAGAUGUGAGGAAGGUGGGGAUGACGUCAAAUUAGCACGGCCCUUACGUCCGGGGCUACACACGUGUUACAAUGGGGGGUACAGAAGGCAGCUACACGGCGACGUGAUGCUAAUCCCGAAAGCCUCUCUCAGUUCGGAUUGGAGUCUGCAACCCGACUCCAUGAAGCUGGAUUCGCUAGUAAUCGCGCAUCAGCCACGGCGCGGUGAAUACGUUCCCG
RNAcentral lists this ribosomal RNA (1017 nucleotides) under uncultured organism. RNAcentral's name for it is "bacterial SSU rRNA". It matches the Rfam family "Bacterial small subunit ribosomal RNA", at positions 356 to 1376 of the family's 1533-position model. The record is from RNAcentral.